GGAAAUAUAGCUCAGCCGGGAGAGCGUCCGCCUGACGCGCGGGAGGUCAUGGGUUCGAGCCCCAUUGUUUCCA
Molecule: transfer RNA, 73 nt
Filed under: Lachnospiraceae bacterium
Lineage: Bacteria; Bacillati; Bacillota; Clostridia; Lachnospirales; Lachnospiraceae
Also listed under: 1 other name
Description: tRNA-Val
Rfam family: tRNA
About the family: Transfer RNA (tRNA) molecules are approximately 80 nucleotides in length. Their secondary structure includes four short double-helical elements and three loops (D, anti-codon, and T loops).
Source: RNAcentral